AUACGUGUAGGGUGGAGAUGCACAACCGUCGGACUGUGUAGCAUUAGGCUUUAUCAAGACGCUUCAUCUCGUCCACAGUUACCGGUUGAUUCCUCCUCCUGACAAACUUUUGCUUAAGCGGUGCCUUAUGUCACCACAGCAAGCAGGACGCGUGAGUCGCGACUUCGCCCCCUUUGGUCGAACCUCGCUAGACACUCGAGUGGCCAACCACUCCUGACGCACCUGACACCGACCGUGAGAAGUCGUGUGUGCCGAACGCCGUUUCCGGCAGCCCGGAAACCGA
This is a non-coding RNA of Pseudomonas sp. MF4836, 283 nucleotides long. The record is from Rfam. NCBI's taxonomy places the organism in Bacteria, Pseudomonadati, Pseudomonadota, Gammaproteobacteria, Pseudomonadales, Pseudomonadaceae.